AGAGUUUGAUCAUGGCUCAGGACGAACGCUGGCGGCGUGCAUAAUACAUGCAAGUAGAACGCUGAAGAGAGGAGCUUGCUCUUCUUGGAUGAGUUGCGAACGGGUGAGUAACGCGUAGGUAACCUGCCUUGUAGCGGGGGAUAACUAUUGGAAACGAUAGCUAAUACCGCAUAACAAUGGAUGACACAUGUCAUUUAUUUGAAAGGGGCAAUUGCUCCACUACAAGAUGGACCUGCGUUGUAUUAGCUAGUAGGUGAGGUAAUGGCUCACCUAGGCGACGAUACAUAGCCGACCUGAGAGGGUGAUCGGCCACACUGGGACUGAGACACGGCCCAGACUCCUACGGGAGGCAGCAGUAGGGAAUCUUCGGCAAUGGGGGCAACCCUGACCGAGCAACGCCGCGUGAGUGAAGAAGGUUUUCGGAUCGUAAAGCUCUGUUGUAAGUCAAGAACGGGUGUGAGAGUGGAAAGUUCACACUGUGACGGUAGCUUACCAGAAAGGGACGGCUAACUACGUGCCAGCAGCCGCGGUAAUACGUAGGUCCCGAGCGUUGUCCGGAUUUAUUGGGCGUAAAGCGAGCGCAGGCGGUUUGAUAAGUCUGAAGUUAAAGGCUGUGGCUCAACCAUAGUUCGCUUUGGAAACUGUCAAACUUGAGUGCAGAAGGGGAGAGUGGAAUUCCAUGUGUAGCGGUGAAAUGCGUAGAUAUAUGGAGGAACACCGGUGGCGAAAGCGGCUCUCUGGUCUGUAGCUGACGCUGAGGCUCGAAAGCGUGGGGAGCGAACAGGAUUAGAUACCCUGGUAGUCCACGCCGUAAACGAUGAGUGCUAGGUGUUGGAUCCUUUCCGGGAUUCAGUGCCGCAGCU
Molecule: ribosomal RNA, 863 nt
Filed under: uncultured bacterium
Lineage: Bacteria
Description: bacterial SSU rRNA
Rfam family: Bacterial small subunit ribosomal RNA
Source: RNAcentral